UUCCUGGUGUCUCAGAUGGUAAAGAAUCUGCCUGCAAUGCAGGAGACCUGGGUUCAACUCCUGGGUCAGAAA
Molecule: transfer RNA, 72 nt
Filed under: Ovis aries (sheep)
Lineage: Eukaryota; Metazoa; Chordata; Mammalia; Artiodactyla; Bovidae
Rfam family: tRNA
About the family: Transfer RNA (tRNA) molecules are approximately 80 nucleotides in length. Their secondary structure includes four short double-helical elements and three loops (D, anti-codon, and T loops). Further hydrogen bonds mediate the characteristic L-shaped molecular structure. tRNAs have two regions of fundamental functional importance: the anti-codon, which is responsible for specific mRNA codon recognition, and the 3' end, to which the tRNAs corresponding amino acid is attached (by aminoacyl-tRNA synthetases). tRNAs cope with the degeneracy of the genetic code in two manners: having more than one tRNA (with a specific anti-codon) for a particular amino acid; and 'wobble' base-pairing, i.e. permitting non-standard base-pairing at the 3rd anti-codon position.
Source: Rfam by way of RNAcentral